UGCUGCAUGGCUGUCGUCAGCUCGUGUCGUGAGAUGUGGUUAGUCCCGCAACGAGCGCAACCCUUGUCAUUAGUUGCUACAUUCAGUUGGGCACUCUAAUGAGACUGCCGGUGACAAACCGGAGGAAGGUGGGGAUGACGUCAAGUCCUCAUGGCCCUUAUAGGUGGGGCUACACACGUCAUACAAUGGAUGGUACAAAGGGUCGCCAACCCGCGAGGGGGAGCCAAUCCCAUAAAGCCAUUCGUAGUCCGGAUCGCAGUCUGCAACUCGACUGCGUGAAGUCGGAAUCGCUAGUAAUCGUGGAUCAGAAUGUCACGGUGAAUACGUUCCCGGGUCUU
This 338-nucleotide ribosomal RNA is filed under the name uncultured Acidovorax sp. RNAcentral's name for it is "bacterial SSU rRNA". It matches the Rfam family "Bacterial small subunit ribosomal RNA", at positions 1039 to 1382 of the family's 1533-position model. The record is from RNAcentral. Lineage: Bacteria; Pseudomonadati; Pseudomonadota; Betaproteobacteria; Burkholderiales; Comamonadaceae.